This 754-nucleotide ribosomal RNA is filed under the name Asterfilopsis furcellata. Its description in RNAcentral is "LSU rRNA". It matches the Rfam family "Eukaryotic large subunit ribosomal RNA", at positions 617 to 1397 of the family's 3401-position model. The record is from RNAcentral. Lineage: Eukaryota; Rhodophyta; Florideophyceae; Gigartinales; Phyllophoraceae.
GUUAGGACAGCGGAGUGACGACGCGAUACGACCGUCUUGAAACNCGGACCAAGGAGUCUAGCACGGGUGCGAGUCGGAGGGUGCAAGNCCGUGGGCGAAGUGAAAGCGAGUUUAAAAACGAGCAGUUUGGGGCGGCAUAAGAUCGUUGAUCUUAAGACCGACCCAGAGCAGUUGCGCUGGGACCCGAAAGAUGGUGAACUAUGCCGGAGUAGGGCAAAGNCAGAGGAAACUCUGGUGGAGGCUCGUAGCGGUGCUGACGUGCAAAUCGCUCGUCGAACUUGGGUAUAGGGGCGAAAGACUAAUCGAACCAUCUAGUAGCUGGUUCCCUCCGAAGUUUCUCUCAGGAUAGCGGGCCGACAAGUUGUUUUGUGCGGUAAAGCGAAUGAUUAGCGCAAUCGGGGGCGUUUAGCCUUUGGGCGAUUCUCAAACUUUCAAUGCGCAAGGGUGCCGCUGCUUAAUUGAGCGGUACCGGUAAAAACGUCGGCCCUGUGGGCCACUUUUGGUAAGCAGAACUGGCGAUACGGGAUGAACCGUAAGCAAGGUUAAGGCGCCAAACUGCCCGCUUAUAGACCCCACAAAAGGUGUUGAUUCAUCGAGACAGCAGGACGGUGGCCAUGGAAGUCGGAAUCCGCCAAGGAGUGUGUAACAACUCACCUGCCGAAUGAAUUAGCCCUGAAAAUGGAUGGCGCUGAAGCGGGCGGCCGACACCUUGCCGUCUGAACAAGAAUUUCAGAUGAGUAGGAGGACGUGGUGA